AGACCCGAAACCCGGUGAUCUAGCCAUGGGCAGGUUGAAGGUUGGGUAACACUAACUGGAGGACCGAACCGACUAAUGUUGAAAAAUUAGCGGAUGACCUGUGGCUGGGGGUGAAAGGCCAAUCAAACCGGGAGAUAGCUGGUUCUCCCCGAAAGCUAUUUAGGUAGCGCCUCGUGAAUUCAUCUCCGGGGGUAGAGCACUGUUUCGGCUAGGGGGCCAUCCCGGCUUACCAACCCGAUGCAAACUGCGAAUACCGGAGAAUGUUAUCACGGGAGACACACGGCGGGUGCUAACGUCCGUCGUGAAGAGGGAAACAACCCAGACCGCCAGCUAAGGUCCCAAAGUCAUGGUUAAGUGGGAAACGAUGUGGGAAGGCCCAGACAGCCAGGAUGUUGGCUUAGAAGCAGCCAUCAUUUAAAGAAAGCGUAAUAGCUCACUGGUCGAGUCGGCCUGCGCGGAAGAUGUAACGGGGCUAAACCAUGCACCGAAGCUGCGGCAGCGACACUCAGGUGUUGUUGGGUAGGGGAGCGUUCUGUAAGCCUGUGAAGGUGUGUCGUGAGGCAUGCUGGAGGUAUCAGAAGUGCGAAUGCUGACAUAAGUAACGAUAAAGCGGGUGAAAAGCCCGCUCGCCGGAAGACCAAGGGUUCCUGUCCAACGUUAAUCGGGGCAGGGUGAGUCGACCCCUAAGGCGAGGCCGAAAGGCGUAGUCGAUGGGAAACGGGUUAAUAUUCCCGUACUUGGUGUUACUGCGAAGGGGGGACGGAGAAGGCUAUGUUGGCCGGGCGACGGUUGUCCCGGUUUAAGCGUGUAGGUGUGUGUUCCAGGUAAAUCCGGUUCACUUUAACACUGAGGCGUGAUGACGAGGCACUACGGUGCUGAAGCAACAAAUGCCCUGCUUCCAGGAAAAGCCUCUAAGCAUCAGGUAACAUCAAAUCGUACCCCAAACCGACACAGGUGGUCAGGUAGAGAAUACCAAGGCGCUUGAGAGAACUCGGGUGAAGGAACUAGGCAAAAUGGUGCCGUAACUUCGGGAGAAGGCACGCUGACACGUAGGUGAAGUGAUUUACUCAUGGAGCUGAAGUCAGUCGAAGAUACCAGCUGGCUGCAACUGUUUAUUAAAAACACAGCACUGUGCAAACACGAAAGUGGACGUAUACGGUGUGACGCCUGCCCGGUGCCGGAAGGUUAAUUGAUGGGGUCAGCGCAAGCGAAGCUCCUGAUCGAAGCCCCGGUAAACGGCGGCCGUAACUAUAACGGUCCUAAGGUAGCGAAAUUCCUUGUCGGGUAAGUUCCGACCUGCACGAAUGGCGUAAUGAUGGCCAGGCUGUCUCCACCCGAGACUCAGUGAAAUUGAACUCGCUGUGAAGAUGCAGUGUACCCGCGGCAAGACGGAAAGACCCCGUGAACCUUUACUAUAGCUUGACACUGAACAUUGAGCCUUGAUGUGUAGGAUAGGUGGGAGGCUUUGAAGUGUGGACGCCAGUCUGCGUGGAGCCGACCUUGAAAUACCACCCUUUAAUGUUUGAUGUUCUAACGUGGACCCGUGAUCCGGGUUGCGGACAGUGUCUGGUGGGUAGUUUGACUGGGGCGGUCUCCUCCUAAAGAGUAACGGAGGAGCACGAAGGUUGGCUAAUCCUGGUCGGACAUCAGGAGGUUAGUGCAAUGGCAUAAGCCAGCUUGACUGCGAGCGUGACGGCGCGAGCAGGUGCGAAAGCAGGUCAUAGUGAUCCGGUGGUUCUGAAUGGAAGGGCCAUCGCUCAACGGAUAAAAGGUACUCCGGGGAUAACAGGCUGAUACCGCCCAAGAGUUCAUAUCGACGGCGGUGUUUGGCACCUCGAUGUCGGCUCAUCACAUCCUGGGGCUGAAGUAGGUCCCAAGGGUAUGGCUGUUCGCCAUUUAAAGUGGUACGCGAGCUGGGUUUAGAACGUCGUGAGACAGUUCGGUCCCUAUCUGCCGUGGGCGCUGGAGAACUGAGGGGGGCUGCUCCUAGUACGAGAGGACCGGAGUGGACGCAUCACUGGUGUUCGGGUUGUCAUGCCAAUGGCACUGCCCGGUAGCUAAAUGCGGAAGAGAUAAGUGCUGAAAGCAUCUAAGCACGAAACUUGCCCCGA
Molecule: ribosomal RNA, 2111 nt
Filed under: Salmonella enterica
Lineage: Bacteria; Pseudomonadati; Pseudomonadota; Gammaproteobacteria; Enterobacterales; Enterobacteriaceae
Description: partial 23S ribosomal RNA
Rfam family: Bacterial large subunit ribosomal RNA
Source: RNAcentral